RNAcentral lists this ribosomal RNA (129 nucleotides) under Microcebus murinus (gray mouse lemur). Lineage: Eukaryota; Metazoa; Chordata; Mammalia; Primates; Cheirogaleidae. The record is from RNAcentral.
GUCUACAGUCAUACCACCAUGAAUGCACCCAAUCUUGUCUGAUCUUGGAAGCUAAGCAGCAUUCGGCCUGGUUAGUACUUGGAUGGGAGAGUAUUGCCUGCCACCUGGCAAUACUGGGUACUGUAGGCU